This 390-nucleotide ribosomal RNA is filed under the name uncultured bacterium. RNAcentral's name for it is "bacterial SSU rRNA". It matches the Rfam family "Bacterial small subunit ribosomal RNA", at positions 29 to 419 of the family's 1533-position model. The record is from RNAcentral.
AUUGAACGCUGGCGGCGUGCUUAACACAUGCAAGUCGAUCGGUAACAGGUGUAGCAAUACAUGCUGACGAGAGGCGGACGGGUGAGUAAUGCUUGGGAAUCUGCCUAUUAGUGGGGGACAACCCGGGGAAACUCGGGCUAAUACCGCAUACGCUCUACGGAGGAAAGCCGGGGACCGCAAGGCCUGGCGCUAAUAGAUGAGCCCAAGUCGGAUUAGCUAGUUGGUAGGGAACGGCCUACCAAGGCGACAAUCCGUAACUGGUCUGAGAGGACGACCAGUCACACCGGAACUGAGACACGGUCCGGACUCCUACGGGAGGCAGCAGUGGGGAAUAUUGGACAAUGGGCGAAAGCCUGAUCCAGCGACGCCGCGUGGGUGAAGAAGGCCUGC